GGAGACCAGGGAGGCGAGGGGCAGGUGCGGGUCCUGGGACCGCAGCAGCGAAGUCUAAAUCCCAGGCUGAGACGGUCACAACCAGGGAGCCAAGGAUGCUAUUCUCCAGAAUCUUCACCUCAUAAAAGGCCUGCUCAAAUUCAGGGGAGUUGUCAUUAAUAUCUACAACCACCACCCUGACCAAGGCAGUUCCAGACCUGGGAGGGGACCCGCCAUCCAGAGCAGUGAGGAUGAAACUGAGCUCCGGGAGCUCUUCAUAAUCCAGCGCCUUGUCCAGAACUAACUCAGGGUAUUUCCUAUUGUCUGGAUUGACUCUUAUUUUAACGUGGAAAUGAGAGUUCGGAUUUAUUGUGUAGCUUUUUACAGCAUUGAUUCCUACAUCUAAAUCCUUUGCACUUUCAAGCAAGAACACAGCAGCAACAGGACUGUUCUCUGGGAUUUCUAAGAGCAUUUCUUUUUCCAAGAAGACGGGAGAGUGAUCAUUUAUAUCCCUGACCUGGAGCUCAAUUUGUAAAAACUGCGUGGGGUUUUUCAUUAACACUUGGAAAUACAGCACACAAGGCUCAUUGGAGCCACAGAGCUCCUCCCUGUCUAGCAUUUCGCUCAGGAGCAAAUCCCCAGUGUUUGUGUCCAGCUGCAAACACUCUUUGUUAUCAUUAGAAACCACCCGAGCCCCCCGCGAAGACAGCUCACUCACCUCGAGUCCCAGGGUCUUUGCCAAAUUUCCUACAAAGCUCCCGCUCUGCAAUUCCUCCAUCACCAAAAAGUUCCCAGUUUCAGAGCCCGCCUGAGACAUUCCCAGCAAAACAAAGAAAAGCAGGACUUGCCUUAUCUGCAGAGUGCCUGCCCCUCCGUUUUCCAUAGCUUCUUUUCCAAAACCCCAAAAUCUUCUUGCAGAAUUGCCUCAGCGCCUCUUCGCAGUUGUAGGAAACGUGUCUCUGAUCUGUCUACCAAAUCCUCGGAAGCCUAAAGAUUUUAACCUUGUUGAAUGGCUUCUAGGUUCUCCCUUAACGGAUUGUUCUUUCUGUCUUCCCAGUUCUCCGCGUGUACUGGAUAACAGGGUCUGCAACAUCCUCCAGGGUAAUUUUUUUCUUGAUAUUAUCCUGCAGCGCCACCACGCGUCUCCACAGAUUUUCACAGUUUGAUGAACACUACCUAAAUUUUAUUUACAUAAAUGUCCUCCAGA
This 1186-nucleotide long non-coding RNA is filed under the name Pan troglodytes (chimpanzee). RNAcentral describes it as "long non-coding RNA NONPTRT014270". The record is from RNAcentral. Lineage: Eukaryota; Metazoa; Chordata; Mammalia; Primates; Hominidae.